Molecule: ribosomal RNA, 397 nt
Filed under: uncultured bacterium
Lineage: Bacteria
Description: partial 16S ribosomal RNA
Rfam family: Bacterial small subunit ribosomal RNA
Source: RNAcentral
AUACGAAGGGUGCAAGCGUUACUCGGAAUUACUGGGCGUAAAGCGUGCGUAGGUGGUUGUUUAAGUCUGUCGUGAAAGCCCUGGGCUCAACCUGGGAAUGGCGAUGGAAACUGGGCGACUAGAGUGUGGCAGAGGGUAGUGGAAUUCCUGGUGUAGCAGUGAAAUGCGUAGAGAUCAGGAGGAACAUCCGUGGCGAAGGCGACUGCCUGGGCCAACACUGACACUGAGGCACGAAAGCGUGGGGAGCAAACAGGAUUAGAUACCCUGGUAGUCCACGCCCUAAACGAUGCGAACUGGAUGUUGGGUGCAAUUUGGCACGCAGUAUCGAAGCUAACGCGUUAAGUUCGCCGCCUGGGGAGUACGGUCGCAAGACUGAAACUUAAAUGAAUUGACGGGG